CAAUAGCGUAUAUUAAAGUUGUUGCAGUUAAAAAGCUCGUAGUUGGAUUUCUGGCAGGAGCGUCCGGUCUCACACUCAGUGCGGGAACUUGGAUGUCUCUGGCCAUCUUUGGGGAUAUCCUGUUUGGCAUUAAGUUGUCGGGCAGGGGAUACCCAUCGUUUACUGUGAAAAAAUUAGAGUGUUUAAAGCAGGCUUAUGCCGUUGAAUAUAUUAGCAUGGAAUAAUAAGAUAGGACGUAGGUACUAUUUUGUUGGUUUGCGCACCAACGUAAUGAUUAAUAGAGACAGGCGGGGCUAUUCGUAUUGCAUUGUCAGAGGUGAAAUUCUUGGAUUUACGGAAGACGAACAACUGCGAAAGCAUUUGCCAAGGAUGUUUUCAUUAA
This 382-nucleotide ribosomal RNA is filed under the name uncultured eukaryote. RNAcentral's name for it is "partial 18S ribosomal RNA". It matches the Rfam family "Eukaryotic small subunit ribosomal RNA", at positions 592 to 976 of the family's 1831-position model. The record is from RNAcentral.